UUUUAAUUAACUUUUAAUUAACAUCUUAUUUCAUCUAUUUUUACAAUGGCAUCUAUAUAACAUUUAAGCGGAAGUAAAAGUGAGAAGACAGCUGAUUUCCAUUAUUACUUGACGGAGAAACCUCUGUAAAUCUAGUAAGUGCCCAUUCUUAUCCAAAUCAAACAAGAGAUAUGAAACUUCCUCAUAAUGUGAACCUUCACAUUGUCUGGUUUUGAGCCAGUAUAAAUUCUGAACAUUUUUCUUCAAUUCUUCUUAGAAGUAUGCUUUUCAGUUCAGCUAAACUUUAAUCUAAAUGGUGAUUUCAGUAAAGACAGUGGAAUAAUACCAGGGACGAAUCUGGCUUCAUUCAAGAAGUCCUCGAAGAAUAAUGAAUCUGGAUCUGCUAAGGCAGAUGUCUGAAGUGAAUCUUAUUCCGUUGAUGGCUGAAUCUUUAUGAAGAUGCUUUAACUGUUGCUAUCAAUGGGUAGGUACAGCAGCAAGAACCAUGCGACGCUGAGGGCUCCUGGCUGCUGCAGCAGCUGUGAUAAAGCAGGACCUUGGGAACCAGCAUGGCUUACCUACGCCGGGGGUGGCUUGAGGUAGGGGAAAAAACGGUGUUACAGUACAGAAAUUAGAGGCCUGAUUUUCAACAUUCAAUUGAACGUGACUAGCCAGACUGUCUUCCAGAUUUUUUAGGUCUGACUGAGGCAAAACUGAGUUGUGUUAGAGAGAAGGAUAUCCUGGGAGGAACUCACUGUAUGUCAAAAGCUUCUAAAUGUUCAGCUAAUCAGUCUUAGUCAAUAAGGCUGUAGUUUUUAAAAGCUGCCAUUUUGUAAUCAAGUGUACUCUAA
Molecule: long non-coding RNA, 830 nt
Filed under: Apteryx owenii (little spotted kiwi)
Lineage: Eukaryota; Metazoa; Chordata; Aves; Apterygiformes; Apterygidae
Description: lncRNA (ENSAOWG00000002887.1)
Source: RNAcentral